RNAcentral lists this ribosomal RNA (246 nucleotides) under uncultured Actinomycetales bacterium. RNAcentral describes it as "partial 16S ribosomal RNA". It matches the Rfam family "Bacterial small subunit ribosomal RNA", at positions 84 to 334 of the family's 1533-position model. The record is from RNAcentral. Lineage: Bacteria; Bacillati; Actinomycetota; Actinomycetes; Actinomycetales.
GGGGUGCUCGAGUGGCGAACGGGUGAGUAACACGUGAGUAACCUGCCCUUGACUUUGGGAUAACUUCAGGAAACUGGGGCUAAUACCGGAUAGGAGCCAUUUUUAGUGUGAUGGUUGGAAAGUUUUUCGGUGUAGGAUGAGCUCGCGGCCUAUCAGCUUGUUGGUGGGGUAAUGGCCUACCAAGGCGGCGACGGGUAGCCGGCCUGAGAGGGUGGACGGCCACAUUGGGACUGAGAUACGGCCCAG